CACGCCGUAAACGAUGUCUACUUGGAGGUUGUGGCCUUGAGCCGUGGCUUUCGGAGCUAACGCGUUAAGUAGACCGCCUGGGGAGUACGGUCGCAAGAUUAAAACUCAAAUGAAUUGACGGGGGCCCGCACAAGCGGUGGAGCAUGUGGUUUAAUUCGAUGCAACGCGAAGAACCUUACCUACUCUUGACAUCCAGAGAACUUUCCAGAGAUGGAUUGGUGCCUUCGGGAACUCUGAGACAGGUGCUGCAUGGCUGUCGUCAGCUCGUGUUGUGAAAUGUUGGGUUAAGUCCCGCAACGAGCGCAACCCUUAUCCUUGUUUGCCAGCGAGUAAUGUCGGGAACUCCAGGGAGACUGCCGGUGAUAAACCGGAGGAAGGUGGGGACGACGUCAAGUCAUCAUGGCCCUUACGAGUAGGGCUACACACGUGCUACAAUGGCGCAUACAGAGGGCGGCCAACUUGCGAAAGUGAGCGAAUCCCAAAAAGUGCGUCGUAGUCCGGAUUGGAGUCUGCAACUCGACUCCAUGAAGUCGGAAUCGCUAGUAAUCGUGGAUCAGAAUGCCACGGUGAAUACGUUCCCGGGCCUUGUACACCCCUUUAAGGAGCACCAUGGGAGUGGGCUGCAAAAGAAGUAGGUAGUUUAACCUUCGGGGGACCGCUACCCCUUGUCG
RNAcentral lists this ribosomal RNA (671 nucleotides) under Vibrio sp. 707A1. Its description in RNAcentral is "bacterial SSU rRNA". It matches the Rfam family "Bacterial small subunit ribosomal RNA", at positions 796 to 1467 of the family's 1533-position model. The record is from RNAcentral. Lineage: Bacteria; Pseudomonadati; Pseudomonadota; Gammaproteobacteria; Vibrionales; Vibrionaceae.